AGCUUUGUGCAGUGGCAGUAUUAUAGCCAAUGAGGUUAAUCUGAGGUGUGAUUAUUGCUGAUUGGAAUAAAAAGUGGGUUUCACUAUACAAUGAUUUAAUCAGAACCCUUCU
Molecule: small nuclear RNA, 112 nt
Filed under: Otolemur garnettii (small-eared galago)
Lineage: Eukaryota; Metazoa; Chordata; Mammalia; Primates; Galagidae
Description: U4 spliceosomal RNA (ENSOGAG00000022311.1)
Rfam family: U4 spliceosomal RNA (bases 1-73)
About the family: U4 small nuclear RNA (U4 snRNA) is a component of the major U2-dependent spliceosome.
Source: RNAcentral